Molecule: ribosomal RNA, 546 nt
Filed under: uncultured Ambispora
Lineage: Eukaryota; Fungi; Glomeromycota; Glomeromycetes; Archaeosporales; Ambisporaceae
Description: SSU rRNA
Rfam family: Eukaryotic small subunit ribosomal RNA
Source: RNAcentral
UUGGAGGGCAAGUCUGGUGCCAGCAGCCGCGGUAAUUCCAGCUCCAAUAGCGUAUAUUAAAGUUGUUGCAGUUAAAAAGCUCGUAGUUGAAUUUUAGGCCUGGCCGGGCGGUCCGUCUUUGGCGAGUACUGUCUGUUGUUGGGUCUUCCUUCUGGUGAACCAGUAUGUCCUUUAUUGGGUGUGUUGGGGAGCCAGGACCAUUACCUUGAAAAAAUUAGAGUGUUUAAAGCGGGCUAUUGCUUGAAUAGAUUAGCAUGGAAUAAUAGAAUAGGACGUUGCGGUUCUAUUUUGUUGGUUUCUAGGACCACCGUAAUGAUUAAUAGGGAUAGUUGGGGGCAUUAGUAUUCAAUUGUCAGAGGUGAAAUUCUUGGAUUUAUUGAAGACUAACUAUUGCGAAAGCAUUUGCCAAGGAUGUUUUCAUUAAUCAAGAACGAAAGUUAGGGGAUCGAAGACGAUCAGAUACCGUCGUAGUCUUAACCAUAAACUAUGCCGACUAGGAAUCGGGCGUCGUUAUUUUAAUGACUCGCUCGGCGCCUUACGGGAAAC